AAGGAACUGCACUUUAAAUGUCUCAUAUCAAACUUAAAGUGCAUAUACAAUCCCAACACACUUUAAAUUAAAACAAUACAUUGGAAAAGUCAAAGCAAACAGGAAUCAGUAAAACAGAAGCAAUACAGGCUCCAUAGGACACACUAGGUUAGGACAAUAGGCUCCAUAGGACACACUAGGUUAGGACAAUAGGCUCCAUAGGACACACUAGGUUAGGACAAUAGGCUCCAUAGGACAACAGGCUCCAUAGGACACACUAGGUUAGGACAAUAGGCUCCAUAGGACACACUAGGUUAGGACAAUAGGCUCCAUAGGACACACUAGGUUAGGACAAUAGGCUGCAUAGGACAAUAGGCUCCAUAGGACACACUAGGUUAGGACAAUAGGCUCCAUAGGACACUAGGUUAGGACAAUAGGCUCCAUAGGACACUAGGUUAGGACAAUAGGCUCCAUAGGACACUAGGUUAGGACAAUAGGCUCCAUAGGACAAUAGGCUCCAUAGGACACACUAGGUUAGGACAAUAGGCUCCAUAGGACACACUAGGUUAGGACAAUAGGCUGCAUAGGACAAUAGGCUCCAUAGGACACACUAGGUUAGGACAAUAGGCUCCAUAGGACACACUAGGUUAGGACAAUAGGCUGCAUAGGACACUAGGUUAGGACAAUAGGCUCCAUAGGACACACUAGGUUAGGACAAUAGGCUCCAUAGGACAAUAGGCUCCAUAGGACACACUAGGUUAGGACAAUAGGCUCCAUAGGACACACUAGGUUAGGACAAUAGGCUCCAUAGGACACACUAGGUUAGGACAAUAGGCUCCAUAGGACACACUAGGUUAGGACAAUAGGCUCCAUAGGACACACUAGGUUAGGACAAUAGGCUGCAUAGGACAAUAGGCUCCAUAGGACACACUAGGUUAGGACAAUAGGCUCCAUAGGACACACUAGGUUAGGACAAUAGGCUGCAUAGGACAAUAGGCUUCAUAGGACACACUAGGUUAGGACAAUAGGCUCCAUAGGACACACUAGGUUAGGACAAUAGGCUCCAUAGGACACUAGGUUAGGACAAUAGGCUCCAUAGGACACACUAGGUUAGGACAAUAGGCUCCAUAGGACAAUAGGCUCCAUAGGACACACUAGGUUAGGACAAUAGGCUCCAUAGGACAAUAGGCUCCAUAGGACACACUAGGUUAGGACAAUAGGCUCCAUAGGACACUAGGUUAGGACAAUAGGCUCCAUAGGACACACUAGGUUAGGACAAUAGGCUGCAUAGGACAAUAGGCUCCAUAGGACACACUAGGUUAGGACAAUAGGCUCCAUAGGACACUAGGUUAGGACAAUAGGCUCCAUAGGACACUAGGUUAGGACAAUAGGCUCCAUAGGACACUAGGUUAGGACAAUAGGCUCCAUAGGACACUAGGUUAGGACAAUAGGCUCCAUAGGACAAUAGGCUCCAUAGGACACACUAGGUUAGGACAAUAGGCUCCAUAGGACACACUAGGUUAGGACAAUAGGCUGCAUAGGACAAUAGGCUCCAUAGGACACACUAGGUUAGGACAAUAGGCUGCAUAGGACACUAGGUUAGGACAAUAGGCUCCAUAGGACACACUAGGUUAGGACAAUAGGCUCCAUAGGACAAUAGGCUCCAUAGGACACACUAGGUUAGGACAAUAGGCUCCAUAGGACACACUAGGUUAGGACAAUAGGCUCCAUAGGACACACUAGGUUAGGACAAUAGGCUGCAUAGGACAAUAGGCUCCAUAGGACACACUAGGUUAGGACAAUAGGCUCCAUAGGACACACUAGGUUAGGACACUAGGUUAGGACAAUAGGCUCCAUAGGACACACUAGGUUAGGACAAUAGGCUCCAUAGGACAAUAGGCUCCAUAGGACACACUAGGUUAGGACAAUAGGCUCCAUAGGACAAUAGGCUCCAUAGGACACACUAGGUUAGGACAAUAGGCUCCAUAGGACAAUAGGCUCCAUAGGACACACUAGGUUAGGACAAUAGGCUCCAUAGGACAAUAGGCUCCAUAGGACACACUAGGUUAGGACAAUAGGCUCCAUAGGACACUAGGUUAGGACAAUAGGCUCCAUAGGACACACUAGGUUAGGACAAUAGGCUGCAUAGGACAAUAGGCUCCAUAGGACACACUAGGUUAGGACAAUAGGCUCCAUAGGACACACUAGGUUAGGACAAUAUGCUCCAUAGGACACACUAGGUUAGGACAAUAGGCUGCAUAGGACAAUAGGCUCCAUAGGACACACUAGGUUAGGACAAUAGGCUCCAUAGGACACACUAGGUUAGGACAAUAGGCUCCAUAGGACACACUAGGUUAGGACAAUAGGCUCCAUAGGACACACUAGGUUAGGACAAUAGGCUGCAUAGGACACACUAGGUUAGGACAAUAGGCUCCAUAGGACACACUAGGUUAGGACAAUAGGCUCCAUAGGACACACUAGGUUAGGACAAUAGGCUCCAUAGGACACACUAGGUUAGGACAAUAGGCUCCAUAGGACACACUAGGUUAGGACAAUAGGCUCCAUAGGACACACUAGGUUAGGACAAUAGGCUCCAUAGGACACACUAGGUUAGGACAAUAGGCUCCAUAGGACAACAGGCUCCAUAGGACACACUAGGUUAGGACAAUAGGCUCCAUAGGACACACUAGGUUAGGACAAUAGGCUCCAUAGGACACACUAGGUUAGGACAAUAGGCUGCAUAGGACAAUAGGCUCCAUAGGACACACUAGGUUAGGACAAUAGGCUCCAUAGGACACACUAAGUUAG
Long non-coding RNA from Oncorhynchus keta (chum salmon), 2787 nucleotides. RefSeq lists it as uncharacterized. The record is from RefSeq and is a predicted model, not a curated record. The transcript is spliced from 3 exons. Lineage: Eukaryota; Metazoa; Chordata; Actinopteri; Salmoniformes; Salmonidae.